Molecule: ribosomal RNA, 253 nt
Filed under: uncultured bacterium
Lineage: Bacteria
Description: partial 16S ribosomal RNA
Rfam family: Bacterial small subunit ribosomal RNA
Source: RNAcentral
UACAGAGACUGCAAGCGUUAUUCGGAUUCACUGGGCGUAAAGGGUGCGCAGGCGGCCGUGUGUGUCAGGUGUGAAAGCCCGGGGCUUAACCCCGGAAUUGCGCCUGAAACUACAUGGCUAGAGCAUUGGAGAGGGUAGCGGAAUUCACGGUGUAGCAGUGAAAUGCGUAGAUAUCGUGAGGAACACCAGACGCGAAGGCGGCUACCUGGACAAUUGCUGACGCUGAGGCGCGACAGCGUGGGGAGCAAACAGG